Molecule: ribosomal RNA, 666 nt
Filed under: uncultured beta proteobacterium
Lineage: Bacteria; Pseudomonadati; Pseudomonadota; Betaproteobacteria
Description: bacterial SSU rRNA
Rfam family: Bacterial small subunit ribosomal RNA
Source: RNAcentral
CACAUGCAAGUCGAACGGUAACAGGUCUUCGGAUGCUGACGAGUGGCGAACGGGUGAGUAAUACAUCGGAACGUGCCUAGUAGUGGGGGAUAACUACUCGAAAGAGUAGCUAAUACCGCAUGAGAUCUACGGAUGAAAGCAGGGGACCUUCGGGCCUUGUGCUACUAGAGCGGCUGAUGGCAGAUUAGGUAGUUGGUGGGGUAAAAGCUUACCAAGCCUGCGAUCUGUAGCUGGUCUGAGAGGACGACCAGCCACACUGGGACUGAGACACGGCCCAGACUCCUACGGGAGGCAGCAGUGGGGAAUUUUGGACAAUGGGCGAAAGCCUGAUCCAGCAAUGCCGCGUGCAGGAUGAAGGCCCUCGGGUUGUAAACUGCUUUUGUACGGAACGAAAAGCCUGGGGCUAAUAUCCCCGGGUCAUGACGGUACCGUAAGAAUAAGCACCGGCUAACUACGUGCCAGCAGCCGCGGUAAUACGUAGGGUGCAAGCGUUAAUCGGAAUUACUGGGCGUAAAGCGUGCGCAGGCGGUUUUGUAAGACAGUGGUGAAAUCCCCGGGCUCAACCUGGGAACUGCCAUUGUGACUGCAAGGCUAGAGUGCGGCAGAGGGGGAUGGAAUUCCGCGUGUAGCAGUGAAAUGCGUAGAUAUGCGGAGGAACACCGAUGG